UCCUACGGGAGGCAGCAGUGGGGAGUAUUCCGCAAUGGACGAAAGUCUGACGGAGCGACGCCGCGUGGAUGAAGAAGGCCGAAAGGUUGUAAAAUCCUUUUGCUGAUGAAGAAUAAGUGGUGUAGGGAAUGACAUCAUGAUGACAUUAGUCGGUGAAUAAGCCCCGGCUAACUACGUGCCAGCAGGUAAUA
This 191-nucleotide ribosomal RNA is filed under the name uncultured bacterium. RNAcentral's name for it is "partial 16S ribosomal RNA". It matches the Rfam family "Bacterial small subunit ribosomal RNA", at positions 337 to 525 of the family's 1533-position model. The record is from RNAcentral.